This 434-nucleotide ribosomal RNA is filed under the name uncultured bacterium. RNAcentral describes it as "partial 16S ribosomal RNA". It matches the Rfam family "Bacterial small subunit ribosomal RNA", at positions 355 to 781 of the family's 1533-position model. The record is from RNAcentral.
UAGGGAAUCUUCCACAAUGGACGCAAGUCUGAUGGAGCAACGCCGCGUGAGUGAAGAAGGCUUUCGGGUCGUAAAACUCUGUUAUUGAAGAAGAACGUGUGUGACAGUAACUGGUCAUGCAGUGACGGUAUUCAAUCAGAAAGUCACGGCUAACUACGUGCCAGCAGCCGCGGUAAUACGUAGGUGGCAAGCGUUGUCCGGAUUUAUUGGGCGUAAAGCGAGUGCAGGCGGUCUUUUAAGUCUGAUGUGAAAGCCUUCGGCUUAACCGAAGAAGGGCAUCGGAAACUGGGAGACUUGAGUGCAGAAGAGGAGAGUGGAACUCCAUGUGUAGCGGUGAAAUGCGUAGAUAUAUGGAAGAACACCAGUGGCGAAGGCGGCUCUCUGGUCUGUAACUGACGCUGAGGCUCGAAAGCGUGGGUAGCAAACAGGAUUAG